Molecule: ribosomal RNA, 319 nt
Filed under: uncultured Actinomycetes bacterium
Lineage: Bacteria; Bacillati; Actinomycetota; Actinomycetes
Description: bacterial SSU rRNA
Rfam family: Bacterial small subunit ribosomal RNA
Source: RNAcentral
CCCAGACUCCUACGGGAGGCAGCAGUGGGGAAUAUUGGGCAAUGGACGCAAGUCUGACCCAGCGACGCCGCGUGCGGGAUGAAGGCCUUCGGGUUGUAAACCGCUUUCAGCAGGGAAGAAGCGAAAGUGACGGUACCUGCAAAAGAAGCACCGGCUAACUAUGUGCCAGCAGCCGCGGUAAUACAUAGGGUGCAAGCGUUGUCCGGAAUUAUUGGGCGUAAAGAGCUCGUAGGUGGUUAGUUACGUCGGGUGUGAAACUCUGGGGCUCAACCCCAGACCUGCACUCGAUACGGGCUAGCUAGAGUUUGGUAGGGGAGAC